This 315-nucleotide ribosomal RNA is filed under the name uncultured eukaryote. Its description in RNAcentral is "partial 18S ribosomal RNA". It matches the Rfam family "Eukaryotic small subunit ribosomal RNA", at positions 1470 to 1796 of the family's 1831-position model. The record is from RNAcentral.
CCCUUAGACGUUCUGGGCCGCACGCGCGCUACACUGACCAGUGCAACAAGCAUCCGUCCUUGGCCGACAGGCCCGGGCAAUCUUUGAACGCUGGUCGUGAUGGGGAUAGACUUUUGCAAUUUUUGGUCUUCAACGAGGAAUUCCUAGUAAACGCAAGUCAUCAACUUGCAUUGAUUACGUCCCUGCCCUUUGUACACACCGCCCGUCGCACCUACCGUUUGAAUGGUCCGGUGAAGCCUCCGGAUUGGCGCGCACCUCGGUGCCGCCGAGAAGUUGGCUAAACCUUACCAUUUAGAGGAAGGUGAAGUCGUAACA